UUGCCUACGGGAGGCAGCAGUGGGGAAUAUUGCACAAUGGGCGAAAGCCUGAUGCAGCAACGCCGCGUGAAGGAAGACGGUUUUCGGAUUGUAAACUUCUGUUCUUAGUGAAGAAUAAUGACGGUAACUAAAGAGCAAGCCACGGCUAACUACGUGCCAGCAGCCGCGGUAAUACGUAGGUGGCAAGCGUCGUCCGGAAUUACUGGGUGUAAGGGGAGCGUAGGCGGGAAGACAAG
RNAcentral lists this ribosomal RNA (236 nucleotides) under uncultured bacterium. RNAcentral describes it as "partial 16S ribosomal RNA". It matches the Rfam family "Bacterial small subunit ribosomal RNA", at positions 335 to 587 of the family's 1533-position model. The record is from RNAcentral.